GAUGAACGCUGGCGGCGUGCCUAAUACAUGCAAGUCGAGCGAACAGAUAAGGAGCUUGCUCCUUUGACGUUAGCGGCGGACGGGUGAGUAACACGUGGGUAACCUACCUAUAAGACUGGAAUAACUCCGGGAAACCGGGGCUAAUGCCGGAUAACAUUUAGAACCGCAUGGUUCUAAAGUGAAAGAUGGUUUUGCUAUCACUUAUAGAUGGACCCGCGCCGUAUUAGCUAGUUGGUAAGGUAACGGCUUACCAAGGCAACGAUACGUAGCCGACCUGAGAGGGUGCUCGGCCACACGGGAACUGAGACACGGUCCAGACUCCUACGGGAGGCAGCAGUAGGGAAUCUUCCGCAAGGGGCGAAAGCCUGACGAGGCAACGCCGCGUGAGGGAUGAAGGUCUUCGGUUCGUAAACCUCUGUUAUUAGGGAAGAACAAAUGUGUAAGUAACUGUGCACGUCUUGACGGUACCUAAUCAGAAAGCCACGGCUAACUACGU
RNAcentral lists this ribosomal RNA (496 nucleotides) under uncultured bacterium. Its description in RNAcentral is "partial 16S ribosomal RNA". It matches the Rfam family "Bacterial small subunit ribosomal RNA", at positions 28 to 506 of the family's 1533-position model. The record is from RNAcentral.